ACGUUAAAGCAUCUUCGGAUGUGUAUAAAGUGGCGAAACGGCUGAGUACACGUGGGCAACCUGCCCUUUGCACUGGGAUAGCCUCGGGAAAACCGAGGUUAAUACCGGAUACUCCAUAUUUGUCGCAUGGCGAAUAUGGGAAAGCUCCGGCGGCAAGGGAUGGGCCCGCGGCCUGUUAGCUAGUUGGUGGGGUAGUGGCCUACCAAGGCAAUGAUGGGUAGCCGGGUUGAGAGACCGACCGGCCAGAUUGGGACUGAGACACGGCCCAGACUCCUACGGGAGGCAGCAGUGGGGAAUCUUGCACAAUGGGCGAAAGCCUGAUGCAGCGACGCCGCGUGCGGGAUGAAGGCCUUCGGGUUGUAAACCGCUUUCAGCAGGGACGAGGCCGCAAGGUGACGGUACCUGCAGAAGAAGCCCCGGCUAACUACGUGCCAGCAGCCGCGGUAAAU
RNAcentral lists this ribosomal RNA (449 nucleotides) under uncultured Atopobium sp. RNAcentral's name for it is "bacterial SSU rRNA". It matches the Rfam family "Bacterial small subunit ribosomal RNA", at positions 66 to 525 of the family's 1533-position model. Lineage: Bacteria; Bacillati; Actinomycetota; Coriobacteriia; Coriobacteriales; Atopobiaceae. The record is from RNAcentral.